Molecule: ribosomal RNA, 407 nt
Filed under: uncultured bacterium
Lineage: Bacteria
Description: bacterial SSU rRNA
Rfam family: Bacterial small subunit ribosomal RNA
Source: RNAcentral
GAACGUGAUCCAGGCUUCGGUCUGGUGAAAGUGGCAGACGGGUGAGUAACGCGUGGGAACCUGCCCUGUGGUAGGGAAUAACCGCGGGAAACUGCGGCUAAUACCCUAUGAGUCCUUCGGGAGAAAGAUUUAUCGCCAUAGGAGGGGCCCGCGUCGGAUUAGGUAGUUGGUGGGGUAACGGCCCACCAAGGCGACGAUCAGUAGCUGGUCUGAGAGGAUGAUCAGCCUCACUGGGACUGAGACACGGCCCAGACUCCUACGGGAGGCAGCAGUGGGGAAUAUUGGACAAUGGGCGCAAGCCUGAUCCAGCCAUGCCGCGUGGGUGAUGAAGGCCCUAGGGUUGUAAAGCCCUUUCGGCGGGGAAGAUAAUGACGGUACCCGCAGAAGAAGCCCCGGCUAACUUCGUG